This 1315-nucleotide ribosomal RNA is filed under the name Brizoides amabilis. RNAcentral's name for it is "SSU rRNA". It matches the Rfam family "Eukaryotic small subunit ribosomal RNA", at positions 91 to 1330 of the family's 1831-position model. Lineage: Eukaryota; Metazoa; Arthropoda; Insecta; Phasmatodea; Pseudophasmatidae. The record is from RNAcentral.
GAAUGGGUCAUUAAAUCAGUUAUGGUUCCUUAGAUCGUACCACAAGACUUGGAUAACUGUGGUAAUUCUAGAGCUAAUACAUGCAAACAGAGUCCCGACCAGAAAUGGAAGGGAUGCUUUUAUUAGAUCAAAACCAAUCGGCCGGCUUGUCUGGUCCGUUUGCUUUGGUGACUCUGGAUAACUUGGAGCUGAUCGCACGGUCCUCGUACCGGCGACGCAUCUUUCAAAUGUCUGCCUUAUCAACUGUCGAUGGUAGGUUCUGCGCCUACCAUGGUUGUAACGGGUAACGGGGAAUCAGGGUUCGAUUCCGGAGAGGGAGCCUGAGAAACGGCUACCACAUCCAAGGAAGGCAGCAGGCGCGCAAAUUACCCACUCCCGGCACGGGGAGGUAGUGACGAAAAAUAACGAUACGGGACUCAUCCGAGGCCCCGUAAUCGGAAUGAGCACACUUUAAACCCUUUAACGAGUAUCCAUUGGAGGGCAAGUCUGGUGCCAGCAGCCGCGGUAAUUCCAGCUCCAAUAGCGUAUAUUAAAGUUGUUGCGGUUAAAAAGCUCGUAGCUGGAUUUGUGUCCCACGCUGUCGGUUCACCGUUCGUCGGUGUUUAACUGGCAUGCCCGUGCGGACGUCCUGCCGGUGGAUGCGGUCGACCGUGGGCCUCUGGUCUGCGCGUCGGCGGUCCGAUGCAAUCCUACCGCGGUGCUCUUUACCGAGUGUCGAGGUGGGCCGGCACGUUUACUUUGAACAAAUUAGAGUGCUCAAAGCAGGCAGUGGCUCGCCUGAAUAUUGUGUGCAUGGAAUAAUGGAAUAGGACCUCGGUUCUAUUUUGUUGGUUUUCGGAACUUGAGGUAAUGAUUAAUAGGGACAGACGGGGGCAUUCGUAUUGCGACGUUAGAGGUGAAAUUCUUGGAUCGUCGCAAGACGAACCUAAGCGAAAGCAUUUGCCAUGGGUGUUUUCAUUAGUCAAGAACGAAAGUUAGAGGUUCGAAGGCGAUCAGAUACCGCCCUAGUUCUAACCAUAAACGAUGCCAGCUAGCGAUCCGCCGAAGUUCCUCCGAUGACUCGGCGGGCAGCUUCCGGGAAACCAAAGCUUUUGGGUUCCGGGGGAAGUAUGGUUGCAAAGCUGAAACUUAAAGGAAUUGACGGAAGGGCACCACCAGGAGUGGAGCCUGCGGCUUAAUUUGACUCAACACGGGAAACCUCACCAGGCCCGGACACCGGAAGGAUUGACAGAUUGAGAGCUCUUUCUUGAUUCGGUGGGUGGUGGUGCAUGGCCGUUCUUAGUUGGUGGAGCGAUUUGUCUGGUUAAUUCCGAUA